UUUCCAUCUUGAAAGCAUUGGAUGAUUCCUGUUGUUGGGGCUCUGACUUGAGAGGAAAAGCUUAGGGAGUUUGACAGAGUUCCAGGAAGGCUUCCUGUAAGAGGUGGCAUGAUGGUACUGUUAAUAAUUAUAACCAUUUGCUGUAUCACAUGUACCACAUGCCAGUCACUGUGUUACCUACAUACAUCAGCGAUGCCACUUCUUGCCAAGUCAUCCUUACAUCUCCUUGUGUGUGGAGUCCAGUUCUACUCACAGACAGCUCUUGCUAAAGAGCCGAGCAAGGAGUAACUGUGCAGCAGAUCUUUCACUUUAGGGCACAGUACCGACCCAAGGCCAGUCCCACUAUCUGUGAGUGAGUGGCCCAGCUUUAGUAGAUGAGGUGGACCAAUCCGAUCAGCUCUCCUUGGGAAUGUGAAAUAAGAGAUGCAGAGGGAUGUUGCCAGUUAGUUGUGGGGAGCUAAGCUGAGAGGUCCAGUACACCAAGAUGCUGGUUGGGUUGGGAGUGCUAUGGACUAGGUCAAGUGCCUGUUGAACAGCUAAAUGUAGUUGGCCAAGCAAGGACAUGGGGCAGUUGUGCAGAGAGAAGCAGGCUUGUGACGUGGAUGAGCCAUAUGAACGACAGACCUCUAGAGCAGAGAGGUUCAUGCUACAGCUAGACAUUUCCUCAAGCUCCAGGUACAAUGAGCUCUAUUUGAAUUCCUACCCUUGGAUUUCUGCUUCCUGAUCUUGCUUCAUUUGGUUUCUGUUUCUUGCAUCCAAAAGAGGCCCAACCCAAGCAACCCUUUCCAUAGAUUCCAUUUAAUUUGUGCUUCAUCCCCUCAGAGGGGUUGGGGUUGUAGUGCUGAACCACCACACCUGACAUUACUGUUUGGGAAGGUCACCAGCCUUCUCAUACUGAAGGGGAAGAGCCAAGCCUUUGUUGAAAUAUACAUGCAAGAGGUUGCUGACACCACACGUAUCAGUGCCAUGCUGCCAGUCCAACUAUGUCUAGUUCUUCAAGCACAAGGUGCUCAAGACCAAUAGCUCCCCACACAAGGUGCAUGCCAAUCGGGUAAUCUUACAGGUGGUGAAGUCAGUACAUUUGAGAAACCUGGUCUUCAUGGGCUCCAGUGGCCCACAUACACCAAGAUGGUGAUGGUUGACCAGAACACCGAACUCAGGAUCAUCAUGGGAAAAUCUCUGCUACUCAGUGAUCCUGGAUGCUCUGCACCAGGCCUUCUUCAAGUGUGGCACUGUCCUCAGUAUCAUCAUCUUCACUAAGACCAACCAUUUCCAGGCAUACUAUCAGCAGCAGUUGCAACUGCAUCAUCAUUUCAAGUCUGAAGGUGUCAGGGAUUCCAUCUUGCUGGCUGGCAACCUGAACACAAGAAAGCACAGAGCCAAGCCCCUUUAUUCUCUUCAGUAUCUAUGGUUAUGUGAAGCAGGUGAAGAUCUUGUUCAACAAGGCGAAGACAGCAGGUAGGCCCAGCUGGCCAUGAGGCACCCAAACAAACUAUAUGGGGAGCCAAUGCAUAUUACAACAUCAAAGCACCAGAGUGUGCAGCUGCCUUGUGAGGGGCAGGAAGACUGGCUUCACCAAAGACGCUGAUAGCUCACCAGUGCACUGCUUCAAGAAGCUGGGCCCCAAGUUCUUUAAGAAUUUCUUCCUGUUCUCAGCCAUCCGGCAACUCAUCAACAUCCCUUCCUCAGUGUCAGAGCAGUUCCUCAAGAACUUCUCAAGCAACAAGGGCAUGACCAAGGGCUUCAAAUUCUUUCAGGGACUGCAGCCCUGAAUUCAUGCUCUCUGUCCCAUCCAUCAUCCCUACUAGAAGAACUACAUGAUGGUUCUGAUCCAGAUAAGUUUGUUGGAGGAAGAAGUGCAGGCACCCAUUAAGCUGCAAAUCCACGACCAAAGCAUCCCUGAACAAAAAGAAUAAUGCUGGUGGGAUUGUUACUCCAGAAUUCAGGAUAUAUUAUAGAUCUCUAGUAAUGAAAAUAUGGCACUGACAUCAAAGAGACAUGUAUGCCAAUGGGACAAAAUAGAAGACCCAAACAUGAGUACUUGUAACUGCAGCCAUCUGCUAUUUGAUAAAGAGGCAAAAAACAUACCCUGGAGAAAAGACAGAGCAUCUUCAACAAGUGGUGGGUAAAGCUGAAGACUGUAUGGCGACAUGCAGAUGAAUGGAUCGGACUCAUACCUGUCCAAUCAUACCCAACAUUAGAUCCAAGUGUACCAAUGACUUCAAUUUGAAACCUGCAACAUUAAAGCUGCUGGAAGUAAACAUAUGCAGUUUCCUUCAAGAGAUAAAUGAAGGGAAGGACCUUCUCAACAGGACCACAUUUGUUCAGGAAUUAAGGUCAGCAAUUGACAACAGGGACCUCAUAAAACUGAAGAGCUUUUGUGCAGCUAAGGAAAUAAUCAAGUGAAGAGGAAGCCUACAGAAUGGGAGAGGGUCAUUGCCAGCUACACAUCUGUUAGAGGGCUAAUAUCUACAAUAUAUGAGGAACUCAAAGAACAAAGAGUCAAGGAAACAAACAGCCCAAUUAAAAAGUGGGCUGGGGAUGUAGACAAUUUCAACAGAAGAAAUAGAAAGGGCUAAGAAAUACCUCAGAAAAAGUGUCCAACUUCCUUAGCAAUUAGGGUAAUGUAAACUAACCCAACGUUGACAAUUCUUAACGAGACUACUGACAACAAAUGCUGCUGCAGAUAUGUCAGCGGGAAUGUCAACUGGCACAGCCACUCUGAAAGUCCAUAUGGAGGAUCCUCAAAAAGCUAAAAAUAGCUCUACAAAAUAACCCAGCUCUACCCUUCGGCAUAUGCCCAAGGGGUAUCCUCCUCUACAGAUUCUUACCUGACUCUGUUCACUGUUGCUCUAUAGCUAGGAAAUGGAAACAAAUGAGAUGUCUGACAACUGACAAUUGAAUAAUGAAGAAGGUCUAAGAAUCCAGUAGUUAUUCAGUGCCAGAGGCUGGAUAUCUCAGCCGAUCUUCAGAAUAUGUCAGAGCCCUGGCAAAGUAGGCUCUAAUGCUCGUAAAGGGAUGGACUUGCUAACAAGGCGAGAGCAAGCACGCAAGGAAAGAGCAAGCUGCCUUCUUCGAUGUCCUUCCUAUAGGCUUCCAACAGAAGAGAUAAUGUAACUACCACCAGGAAGCCUGUCUCUACUGCAAAUGGAAACCAUCACAGGAAACCACAACUGGGCACACUGCACAGACUGGCAGAUUGGGGGAGCUCAGGCCCACGGACACGUAAAGCUCAGCUCUAUGGCCCAGGAAACACUGAGGAAGAGAGUGGAAAGAUUGUAAGAGCAAGAAUACCUGGAAGCCUGCGAAGUUUCUUCCAGAAAUGGCUGUAUAAAUAAAACCAGAACAAUGCCAAUGUCAAUGGAAAUUUUGACAUAGGAGAGCAAAAUUUUCACUGGACAGAGAACUCUAGGCAACCAAUGAGUCCUGGGAGAAUUAGCCUCUCCCAAGGAUAAGCCCAAAUACUGGUUGUCUGAUGCAGAGUGAUCAGACUAGAGACCAUUUAUACUCAAACAACAAAAGUGGACUCAGUAGCUUGGAUGUAUACACACAUAUACAUAGAUAUGCAUGUAACAAUAAUAACAGAACAAGCCCAUCAACCUGAGAGUAAGGGCUGGAUAGGUAGAGGCUGGAGGGAGGGAAGGCAGAGAGAGAAGCAAGGUGUAAUUCUGCUUUAAUUAAAAACUUAUCAACUGAAA
Molecule: small RNA, 3698 nt
Filed under: Rattus norvegicus (Norway rat)
Lineage: Eukaryota; Metazoa; Chordata; Mammalia; Rodentia; Muridae
Description: uncharacterized LOC103690810
Source: RNAcentral